RNAcentral lists this small RNA (136 nucleotides) under Salmonella enterica. RNAcentral's name for it is "RtT sRNA". It matches the Rfam family "RtT RNA". From Rfam's summary of the family: This family represents a bacterial cis-regulatory element known as RtT RNA. The exact function of RtT is unknown although it is thought that it may be involved in changing the cellular response in relation to amino acid starvation. The record is from RNAcentral. Lineage: Bacteria; Pseudomonadati; Pseudomonadota; Gammaproteobacteria; Enterobacterales; Enterobacteriaceae.
UAUCCCCCAAACCAAAGGGGGAUGAGAACCACCGACCGGGGUUCGACAACUGGCGCAGCCAGUUGGACAGACGACGAGCCUGCGAGGAGACUGCCCGAAGGGCGAGCGCAGCGAGUCAAUCCCCCCCUCACCGCCA